AUGUGUUUCGUUGUUCGAGUCUUUGGUGAAGCUCCGCUCUGAUUGUGACACGGGAAAGGGGGUUGUAUAUAGUAUAUAGAGUCAUUCAUGACUCAUGUAUUUAGAUUGGAAAAAUGUAUCUUUUAUAAGGGAAUUUAUAUUGUAUAAAACGAGUUUUUAUUAAGUAAUCAUGUUAGUAUUAAUUUGUAAAGAGGAGUGUGAUACCUAGAACUAAUAUUCUAUAAAUUAAAUUGUAAUUUUCCGUUGCGUAGUUUGAAAAAGAU
This 263-nucleotide long non-coding RNA is filed under the name Trifolium pratense (red clover). Its description in RNAcentral is "long non-coding RNA (TPRA_LNC006184)". Lineage: Eukaryota; Viridiplantae; Streptophyta; Magnoliopsida; Fabales; Fabaceae. The record is from RNAcentral.